UCAAGUAAGAGUGCUUGAAAUGUAAAUAUUCAAUUUUUAAACCAGCCAAUCUUUUGCACUUGCUGGAAGUGUUGAAUAAAGAAUAGUAAGGGGAGUUUUUUUAAUUUUGUUGCUCUUCAUGCUUAAGGUAACAUUAUAUAUGUCGUAUGAAAAUUACAGGUGCAAUUGGGAAACUUACCCAGAGUCCAUGACAAUGUGUCUGUCUAAUGAACUACCCUGGCUGUUGUGUGAGAACCAUUUUGGUUUUAUUACUGGUGGUGAUACUACUUUUCAACCUUGGAAGCUGUCCUCUGCCUUGGAAGAUUCAGGAGAAAGACUGGUAGCUAUAGAGCACCUAUGAUGGUAGGCAGUAUAAUAUACUGGAAAUCAUCAUGCAGUUCUUAAAUUAUACUAAGCCAGAAAUGAUGUGUGCAUGGUCAUCACUAAUCUAUAUAAUGUAAAAAGUGUACUGCAUUUCCCGCCAUUGAAUGGUAUCUUUACACUACAAGAUAGCUAUUGAGCAACUAUGGGGUCUUCUGAUCUCCUAAUAGAUGGAGAUUUGCACUCCUAACUACCAUCAGUCCUGAAAGAAGUUAAACACUUAAAUCCAUCAUAUAGUGAACACCUAAGGCUAGAUAAACAUAUUUACACCUUUAUGUAGAAAAGCUGUAAACACUCCAUUUUCUUUAUUUUUGCAAGCAUUGGAGAACCAUAGAACACACUGCAUUUAUUUAACAUCUUUGAUCAUCUCACCUGCAUUCUGCCCUCUGAUCUACCUUAGCCAAGACCACUUCUAAUGAUCUACACCUCUGAGCAACUUUGAGAUAGCAGACAUUUUUUCCAAAAGAACCUGACAUAAACAUUCAUUUCUCCUUCCUCCCUCUCCCCACCGAAAAAGAACCAGUGGGAUUUAGAAUCAUACUGAUGCAAAGUCCAGGAUUGGCAUUAUUCGGUUCUGAGUCAGCAUCAGAUUUGAUUAAUUAAACUGCUAAGGGAAAAAAACCACUUGCUAAAUUUUAUUAGAAGGCUAGGAUUCUGGGCCUUCUAGUGAUAUAGAUACUGCAACUUAACUUGUCUUGGCAGGUAACGUGAUAUUGGAUCCCAAAACUGUGACUAUCACUGUUUACAGAGAGGGUCCUUUAAAUCACUUUUAGAGCUUUUAAAAGUUUUAAAACUAAUUAAAAUGUUUCUUUCCACCAGUAACCAUAAUUGUCUAGCACAACCUGCCCUCCGCAAUAGGAGGAUAGGAAUAUUUGUAUUAACAUAGAUUUUAAAUUUUAAGAGAUUUCCAAAAAGAGUUUUAAUCUAGUAGUAUUUGGCAUGAAGGAAGCAUCUGUGCUAUGAAAGGGUAUUGACACACUUGUGAUAGUCCCCUUACCUCAGUGUUGAAUCCAGAAAGGCCAAUUCUGCCCCCACUGAAGUCAAGGGAGCAGGAGCUAUGCUGGUGUGAUUGCUAUUUUCAGUACACAUUAUUCAGGCAACAACAUUUAGUGAAAAUGUGGAAAGGAGAAGUGAAAAAGAAAAACCCCAUGGAAAUAAGUGAAGUGUGGGCCUAAUCCCCCUUCCAGCGAACUCAAUGAGAGGAAGAAGAUUGGAGGAAUCAUGUUGGACCCUCAGUUAUUUUUGUCUGUUCAAUCGUACGCUGUAAGAUUAAAAUGAACCAAUUUAGGGCCAAAUUCUGUCCUGAGUUGUAUGUGCAUUGGCUUUCACUGGGUGCACCUCUGAGGCCAGAAUUGGGCCUUACAUUUGUUUGUUUAGCUGCUGUUUGAAUUUGCAACUUAAUGCAUUUAUUAGACUGUUUUCACAGUGGACUACACUUUGCAGUACACGUCAUGCUUGUUAUGUGUCUAUCUAAAGCUCUCCAGUGUGGUGUGUUGUAAACAUUUGGGCCAGAUCCUUCAUUCUCUUUACGUUGACUUCAAUGGAAUUUUAACAGGAAACGUGGGACAAUCAUGUACUAAUUCUCUAUUCAUUAUAUUCACACACUUGUAACUUGGCUAUUUCUAAACCAAAUUUUAUUGGACCAGCCAAAGGCUUAUUACUUAGGCACAACUCAGCUGGACAUUUGCUUGAAUAAAGAGUGCAGGAUCAGGCCA
Gopherus agassizii (Agassiz's desert tortoise) is the source of this 2075-nucleotide long non-coding RNA. The record is from Ensembl. Lineage: Eukaryota; Metazoa; Chordata; Testudines; Testudinidae.